GGGUUGUGAGGUUAAGCGACUAAGCGUACACGGUGGAUGCCCUGGCAGUCAGAGGCGAUGAAGGGCGUGCUAAUCUGCGAUAAGCGCCGGUAAGGUGAUAUGAACCGUUAUAACCGGCGAUACCCGAAUGGGGAAACCCAGUGUGACUCGUCACACUAUCAUUAACUGAAUCCAUAGGUUAAUGAGGCGAACCGGGGGAACUGAAACAUCUAAGUACCCCGAGGAAAAGAAAUCAACCGAGAUUCCCCCAGUAGCGGCGAGCGAACGGGGAGGAGCCCAGAGCCUGAAUCAGCAUGUGUGUUAGUGGAAGCGUCUGGAAAGGCGCGCGAUACAGGGUGACAGCCCCGUACACAAAAGCGCAUGUGCUGUGAGCUCGAUGAGUAGGGCGGGACACGUGGUAUCCUGUCUGAAUAUGGGGGGACCAUCCUCCAAGGCUAAAUACUCCUGACUGACCGAUAGUGAACCAGUACCGUGAGGGAAAGGCGAAAAGAACCCCGGCGAGGGGAGUGAAAAAGAACCUGAAACCGUGUACGUACAAGCAGUGGGAGCACCCUUUGGGUGUGACUGCGUACCUUUUGUAUAAUGGGUCAGCGACUUAUAUUCUGUAGCAAGGUUAACCGAAUAGGGGAGCCGGAGGGAAACCGAGUCUUAAUUGGGCGUUAAGUUGCAGGGUAUAGACCCGAAACCCGGUGAUCUAGCCAUGGGCAGGUUGAAGGUUGGGUAACACUAACUGGAGGACCGAACCGACUAAUGUUGAAAAAUUAGCGGAUGACCUGUGGCUGGGGGUGAAAGGCCAAUCAAACCGGGAGAUAGCUGGUUCUCCCCGAAAGCUAUUUAGGUAGCGCCUCGUGAAUUCAUCUCCGGGGGUAGAGCACUGUUUCGGCUAGGGGCCAUCCCGGCUUACCAACCCGAUGCAAACUGCGAAUACCGGAGAAUGUUAUCACGGGAGACACACGGCGGGUGCUAACGUCCGUCGUGAAGAGGGAAACAACCCAGACCGCCAGCUAAGGUCCCAAAGUCAUGGUUAAGUGGGAAACGAUGUGGGAAGGCCCAGACAGCCAGGAUGUUGGCUUAGAAGCAGCCAUCAUUUAAAGAAAGCGUAAUAGCUCACUGGUCGAGUCGGCCUGCGCGGAAGAUGUAACGGGGCUAAACCAUGCACCGAAGCUGCGGCAGCGACACUGUGUGUUGUUGGGUAGGGGAGCGUUCUGUAAGCCUGUGAAGGUGUGUCGUGAGGCAUGCUGGAGGUAUCAGAAGUGCGAAUGCUGACAUAAGUAACGAUAAAGCGGGUGAAAAGCCCGCUCGCCGGAAGACCAAGGGUUCCUGUCCAACGUUAAUCGGGGCAGGGUGAGUCGACCCCUAAGGCGAGGCCGAAAGGCGUAGUCGAUGGGAAACGGGUUAAUAUUCCCGUACUUGGUGUUACUGCGAAGGGGGGACGGAGAAGGCUAUGUUGGCCGGGCGACGGUUGUCCCGGUUUAAGCGUGUAGGUGUGUGUUCCAGGUAAAUCCGGUUCACUUUAACACUGAGGCGUGACGACGAGGCACUACGGUGCUGAAGCAACAAAUGCCCUGCUUCCAGGAAAAGCCUCUAAGCAUCAGGUAACAUCAAAUCGUACCCCAAACCGACACAGGUGGUCAGGUAGAGAAUACCAAGGCGCUUGAGAGAACUCGGGUGAAGGAACUAGGCAAAAUGGUGCCGUAACUUCGGGAGAAGGCACGCUGACACGUAGGUGAAGUGAUUUACUCAUGGAGCUGAAGUCAGUCGAAGAUACCAGCUGGCUGCAACUGUUUAUUAAAAACACAGCACUGUGCAAACACGAAAGUGGACGUAUACGGUGUGACGCCUGCCCGGUGCCGGAAGGUUAAUUGAUGGGGUCAGCGCAAGCGAAGCUCCUGAUCGAAGCCCCGGUAAACGGCGGCCGUAACUAUAACGGUCCUAAGGUAGCGAAAUUCCUUGUCGGGUAAGUUCCGACCUGCACGAAUGGCGUAAUGAUGGCCAGGCUGUCUCCACCCGAGACUCAGUGAAAUUGAACUCGCUGUGAAGAUGCAGUGUACCCGCGGCAAGACGGAAAGACCCCGUGAACCUUUACUAUAGCUUGACACUGAACAUUGAGCCUUGAUGUGUAGGAUAGGUGGGAGGCUUUGAAGUGUGGACGCCAGUCUGCAUGGAGCCGACCUUGAAAUACCACCCUUUAAUGUUUGAUGUUCUAACGUGGACCCGUUACCCGGGUUGCGGACAGUGUCUGGUGGGUAGUUUGACUGGGGCGGUCUCCUCCUAAAGAGUAACGGAGGAGCACGAAGGUUGGCUAAUCCUGGUCGGACAUCAGGAGGUUAGUGCAAUGGCAUAAGCCAGCUUGACUGCGAGCGUGACGGCGCGAGCAGGUGCGAAAGCAGGUCAUAGUGAUCCGGUGGUUCUGAAUGGAAGGGCCAUCGCUCAACGGAUAAAAGGUACUCCGGGGAUAACAGGCUGAUACCGCCCAAGAGUUCAUAUCGACGGCGGUGUUUGGCACCUCGAUGUCGGCUCAUCACAUCCUGGGGCUGAAGUAGGUCCCAAGGGUAUGGCUGUUCGCCAUUUAAAGUGGUACGCGAGCUGGGUUUAGAACGUCGUGAGACAGUUCGGUCCCUAUCUGCCGUGGGCGCUGGAGAACUGAGGGGGGCUGCUCCUAGUACGAGAGGACCGGAGUGGACGCAUCACUGGUGUUCGGGUUGUCAUGCCAAUGGCACUGCCCGGUAGCUAAAUGCGGAAGAGAUAAGUGCUGAAAGCAUCUAAGCACGAAACUUGCCCCGAGAUGAGUUCUCCCUGAGACUUAGAGUCUCCUGAAGGAACGUUGAAGACGACGACGUUGAUAGGCCGGGUGUGUAAGCGCAGCGAUGCGUUGAGCUAACCGGUACUAAUGAACCGUGAGGCUUAACCUUACAACGCCGAAG
Molecule: ribosomal RNA, 2924 nt
Filed under: Salmonella enterica subsp. enterica serovar Enteritidis
Lineage: Bacteria; Pseudomonadati; Pseudomonadota; Gammaproteobacteria; Enterobacterales; Enterobacteriaceae
Description: bacterial LSU rRNA
Rfam family: Bacterial large subunit ribosomal RNA
Source: RNAcentral